CAUGCAAGUCGAGGGGUAACGGGGAAGCUUGCUUCCGCCGACGACCGGCGCACGGGUGUGUAACGCGUAUACAAUCUACCUUGUACUGGGGUAUAGCCUUUAGAAAUGAAGAUUAAUCCCCCAUAGUCUCUUAGAGUGGCAUCACUUCUAGAGUAAAGGUUACGGUAUAAGAUGAGUAUGCGUUCUAUUAGUUUGUUGGUGUGGUAACGGCACACCAAGACUACGAUAGAUAGGGGCCCUGAGAGGGGGAUCCCCCACACUGGUACUGAGACACGGACCAGACUCCUACGGGAGGCAGCAGUGAGGAAUAUUGGACAAUGGAGGCAACUCUGAUCCAGCCAUGCCGCGUGCAGGAAGACUGCCCUAUGGGUUGUAAACUGCUUUUAUACAGGAAGAAACACCUCUACGUGUAGAGGCUUGACGGUACUGUAAGAAUAAGGAUCGGCUAACUCCGUGCCAGCAGCCGCGGUAAUACGGAGGAUCCAAGCGUUAUCCGGAAUCAUUGGGUUUAAAGGGUCCGUAGGUGGAUAAUUAAGUCAGAGGUGAAAUCUUGCAGCUCAACUGUAAAAUUGCCUUUGAAACUGGUUGUCUUGAGUUAUUAUGAAGUAGUUAGAAUAUGUAGUGUAGCGGUGAAAUGCAUGGAUAUUACAUAGAAUACCAAUUGCGAAGGCAGAUUACUAAUAAUCAACUGACACUGAUGGACGAAAGCGUGGGUAGCGAACAGGAUUAGAUACCCUGGUAGUCCACGCCGUAACCGAUGGUUACUAGCUGUUUGGACUUCGGUCUGAGUGGCUAAGCGAAAGUGAUAAGUAACCCACCUGAGGAGUACGUUCGCAAGAAUGAAACUCAAAGGAAUUGACGGGGGCCCGCACAAGCGGUGGAGCAUGUGGUUUAAUUCGAUGAUACGCGAGGAACCUUACCAGGGCUUAAAUGUAAGUUGCAUUAGCUAGAGAUAGCUAUUUCUUCGGACCACUUACAAGGUGCUGCAUGGUUGUCGUCAGCUCGUGCCGUGAGGUGUCAGGUUAAGUCCUAUAACGAGCGCAACCCCUGUUGUUAGUUGCCAGCGAGUCAUGUCGGGAACUCUAACAAGACUGCCAGUGCAAACUGUGAGGAAGGUGGGGAUGACGUCAAAUCAUCACGGCCCUUACGUCCUGGGCUACACACGUGCUACAAUGGUAGGUACAGAGAGCAGCCACUGCGCGAGCAGGAGCGAAUCUAUAAAACCUAUCACAGUUCGGAUCGGAGUCUGCAACUCGACUCCGUGAAGCUGGAAUCGCUAGUAAUCGGAUAUCAGCCAUGAUCCGGUGAAUACGUUCCCGGGCCUUGUACACACCGCCCGUCAAGCCAUGGAAGUUGGAAGUGCCUGAAGUCCGUCACCGCAAGGAGCGGCCUAGG
Molecule: ribosomal RNA, 1395 nt
Filed under: uncultured marine bacterium
Lineage: Bacteria
Description: bacterial SSU rRNA
Rfam family: Bacterial small subunit ribosomal RNA
Source: RNAcentral